UACGGGGGGGGCGAGCGUUGUUCGGAAUUACUGGGCGUAAAGGGUUUGUAGGUGGUCUGCUAAGUCAGACGUGAAAUCCCUCAGCUUAACUGGGGAACUGCGUCUGAUACUGGCGGACUUGAGGACAGGAGAGGAACGCGGAAUUCCAGGUGUAGCGGUGAAAUGCUUAGAUAUGACAUAGAACACCAAUUGCGAAGGCAGCUGGCUACACAAAUAUUGACACUGAGGCACGAAAGCGUGGGGAUCAAACAGG
RNAcentral lists this ribosomal RNA (253 nucleotides) under uncultured bacterium. RNAcentral's name for it is "partial 16S ribosomal RNA". It matches the Rfam family "Bacterial small subunit ribosomal RNA", at positions 524 to 776 of the family's 1533-position model. The record is from RNAcentral.